AACGGAGGGUGCAAGCGUUGUUCGGAAUUACUGGGCGUAAAGCGCGUGCAGGUGGUCUUUUAAGUUCUAUGUGAAAUCCCCCGGCUUAACCGGGGAACUGCAUAGAAUACUGGAGGACUUGAGAUCGGGAGAAGAGGGCGGAAUUCCCAGUGUAGAGGUGAAAUUCGUAGAUAUUGGGAGGAACACCGGCGGCGAAAGCGGCUCUCUAGACCGAUACUGACACUCAUACGCGAGAGCGUGGGUAGCAAACAGG
Molecule: ribosomal RNA, 253 nt
Filed under: uncultured bacterium
Lineage: Bacteria
Description: partial 16S ribosomal RNA
Rfam family: Bacterial small subunit ribosomal RNA
Source: RNAcentral